GACGAGCUCCCCGAACGUUAUUCGGUAUUACUGGGCUUAAAGAGUUCGUAGGCGGCCUGACAGGUCAGGUGUGAAAUCCCUCGGCUCAACCGAGGAACUGCGCUUGAAACCGUCAGGCUUGAGGGAGAUAGAGGUGAGCGGAACAGAUGGUGGAGCGGUGAAAUGCGUUGAUAUCAUCUGGAACACCGGUGGCGAAAGCGGCUCACUGGAUCUUUUCUGACGCUGAGGAACGAAAGCGUGGGGAGCAAACGGG
RNAcentral lists this ribosomal RNA (253 nucleotides) under uncultured bacterium. RNAcentral describes it as "partial 16S ribosomal RNA". It matches the Rfam family "Bacterial small subunit ribosomal RNA", at positions 524 to 776 of the family's 1533-position model. The record is from RNAcentral.